UACAGAGGGGGCAAGCGUUGUUCGGAAUUACUGGGCGUAAAGGGCGCGUAGGCGGCCUGCUAAGUCGAACGUGAAAUCCCCGAGCUCAACUCGGGAACUGCGUCCGAUACUGGCAGGCUUGAAUCCGGGAGAGGGAUGCGGAAUUCCAGGUGUAGCGGUGAAAUGCGUAGAUAUCUGGAGGAACACCGGUGGCGAAGGCGGCAUCCUGGACCGGCAUUGACGCUGAGGAGCGAAAGCCAGGGGAGCAAACGGG
RNAcentral lists this ribosomal RNA (253 nucleotides) under uncultured bacterium. Its description in RNAcentral is "partial 16S ribosomal RNA". It matches the Rfam family "Bacterial small subunit ribosomal RNA", at positions 524 to 776 of the family's 1533-position model. The record is from RNAcentral.